UACGUAGGGGGCAAGCGUUGUCCGGAUUUAUUGGGCGUAAAGCGCUCGCAGGUGGUUCGUCGCGUCGUGCGUGAAAGACCCCGGCUCAACUGGGGAGGGUCGUGCGAUACGGUCGGGCUGGAGGCCAGUAGGGGGAUGCGGAAUUCCGGGUGUAGUGGUGGAAUGCGUAGAGAUCCGGAGGAACACCAGCGGCGAAGGCGGCAUCCUGGACUGGUCCUGACACUCAGGAGCGAAAGCGUGGGGAGCGAUCCGG
Molecule: ribosomal RNA, 253 nt
Filed under: uncultured bacterium
Lineage: Bacteria
Description: partial 16S ribosomal RNA
Rfam family: Bacterial small subunit ribosomal RNA
Source: RNAcentral